Non-coding RNA from Stegodyphus mimosarum, 157 nucleotides. NCBI's taxonomy places the organism in Eukaryota, Metazoa, Arthropoda, Arachnida, Araneae, Eresidae. The record is from Rfam.
GUCGUUGCGCUAGUAAUCCUGCUCAGUACGAGAGGAACCGCAGGUUCGGACACUUGGUACAUGUGCCUGGUCGAGUGACCAGUGGUGCGAAGCUACCAUCCGUGGGAUUAUGACUGAACGCCUCUAAGUCAGAAUCCCACCUAAUCACUGCAACGAU